RNAcentral lists this ribosomal RNA (372 nucleotides) under uncultured bacterium. RNAcentral describes it as "bacterial SSU rRNA". It matches the Rfam family "Bacterial small subunit ribosomal RNA", at positions 524 to 898 of the family's 1533-position model. The record is from RNAcentral.
UACGUAGGGGGCAAGCGUUGUCCGGAAUCACUGGGCGUAAAGCGCAUGUAGGCGGGAUAUUAAGUCAGGUGUGAAAACUAUAGGCUCAACCUGUAGAUUGCAUCUGAAACUGGUAUUCUUGAGUAUUGGAGAGGAAAGUGGAAUUCCUAGUGUAGCGGUGAAAUGCGUAGAUAUUAGGAGGAACACCAGUGGCGAAGGCGACUUUCUGGCCAAAAACUGACGCUGAGAUGCGAAAGCGUGGGGAGCAAACAGGAUUAGAUACCCUGGUAGUCCACGCCGUAAACGAUGGGUACUAGGUGUUGGGUGUCAAAGCUCAGUGCCGCAGUUAACACAAUAAGUACCCCGCCUGGGGAGUACGGUCGCAAGACUGAA